CACCAGCAGGACAUCUGCAUUUGAUCCUCUCUGUUGUAAGUUCAGCUGCACGAAAACUGCAAGUGUGGGGGGUCGCCCGACCCCCCAACUUCAUCUCUGAACUGCCGUGAGCAUGGAACAACACUGCAUACACCUCGGCACGUCAUGGCACCAAAAACAGGCGCGAUGAGGGGGUCGCCCGACCCCCUUUCUAUGGCAAAAGGAAACGACACAAGUGCAGAAAGACUUCCCGAGGGACGUAGAAUCGAGUGGCAGGGCCAGGAACCUCCAGGUGGGGUCGGCCGACCCUUCCAUGGAGCCGUGGGCCCACCAGGCAGCUUCUAUACGACGAAAGACAUCUUUCCUGCCCGGUUUGCUAAUUCUUCCCCCUCUCAGUCUGUCCAAUUCUUUACCUUUGUGUCACAAUUAAAAUAAAAUUUGAUAGUUUAAACUUGUUUGCAAAAUAAAAAGUGAACUGGUACAUGAUUUAAGAGAAAUAGUGACAUAAAGUAUAGUUCUUACAAUUGUUCAUCCUCAUGGGUAAAAAUCUAUAGGAACCAUAUUGACUAAGUUGUUGAUGAAAGUGAUAUAACUCUUGGCUAAGAAUUCAUAACAUUUCUAUUCAAGGUACUUAGAGAUUUGUUUCAAAAAUAUCACAAAACCAUAGUAUCAUUUACUCCUCAUUAGCAAGAAAUUCCCACUAAAAGCCAUACACUUAGAUAUUCAAGUAACCAUUUUAUGAAAUGCAACCUGCUUUUGUAAUGAGUUUUGUCAAAACCUUGUUGACCCUAGUGAGAGUUGUAUCAUAGUCACAAGAUCAAGAUCACGUACACACCACAUAUAUAUAUGCUGCUUCUACACUGGAAGUAUGCAACCACAUGUAUUGUGCAUCCACUAAAUAGGUUGCCCCAUACUCUAAGUGUUAGAACACCUCUCUAAAUAUUGUUUAGAAAAUGAGACAUAAAAGGGCUUGGCAAAAUGAAAGAAAAAGAAAAGAUGGACAUGUGCAAGUCCAUGAAAAAAAAAAUUUGAGCACAUAAAGCUCGAAGAAAAAGAAAAUCUAGCCAUGUCUCAAUAUACAAGUAGAGAGAGUGUAGUAAAUAAAGGAGCAACCUAGUCCACCAUAUAACACACUUGCACAUCUUGAUCUAUGACUAUGACACUCCUCUCUUUGGAUCCUUGUUUUUGACUUAACAAUAUUUGCAAAGUAGAGUAUGCUACCUUGUUUAUCCCUACCAAGCCCCAUAUAAGCCUAUAAUUAUAGGAUGAAACAAGUUGGCAUUCAUGCCUUGGUGAGGACUACUAAAAAACUUUGAGUGAUCUAGAGCGCUAAAUGAGGAGUAGGAUUGAACUAUGUGACUUAUUUUAAAAAGUGUCAUAAAAACUCUAAGUACCAAGAAUAUGAAAUUGGAAUUUAAUCUUGUUCUGAGAGUUGUUCCUUUUCUCAACCUCUGAAGGAUAUAUGCUAGACACUUACACAAAAACCCAUUUGGAUGAACUAUGUUCGAACUAGCAUUUUAUGCUCACUACUAUCUUAAGUUAGAAACCAUUGAUCACUCAUUUUUAACCUUUACUCGAGGACGAGCAAAGACUCAAGUGUGGGGGGUCUUGUUGACGGUAUUUAUACCAUGUUUUCUACUAUCAUAACCGUCAACAUAAGACUCAUUUUGGGAGAAAACAACCAAACAAAGUAGUAAUAUAGGUACAUAUAACCUAGUUCCACAUGUACAUGCUACUAUUUGGUUGCAGGAGUAAGAACAGGUACUUUUCAAGGGUCCAAACACUAAGAAGGGGUGAAUAACUAAAGAUCAGUGACACCAGUAACCAAGACAACAUUAUAGUCAUGA
Molecule: long non-coding RNA, 1826 nt
Filed under: Sorghum bicolor (sorghum)
Lineage: Eukaryota; Viridiplantae; Streptophyta; Magnoliopsida; Poales; Poaceae
Description: long non-coding RNA (SBIC_LNC008265)
Source: RNAcentral